Anas platyrhynchos (mallard) is the source of this 429-nucleotide non-coding RNA. The record is from RefSeq and is a predicted model, not a curated record. NCBI's taxonomy places the organism in Eukaryota, Metazoa, Chordata, Aves, Anseriformes, Anatidae.
UGCGCUUCCUGAGUCGAGCUGCUGGACACCGGCUUGCCUGGGCAAUUGCCCAUGUUGCUGAGGAGGCAACAGAGCCAAAGCCCUUGGGGCUGAAGAUCCAGCACGGCUGGGGAGGCUUUGGCAUUUCUGCACAAUGCUGCUCAGUCCUGCUUGGGAGCCCGGCCUCAGGUGCAGAAUGAAGCCAAGCAAGCUCGAGGGAAACUGUGUGCUGAAUGCCAGACUGCGUAUUAGAGCUGAUCUUCAUCUCUGCUCGGAAAAGCUUCACGGGCCAAAGGAGAAUGGAGAUGAGGAAGGCAAUGGAGAAUGAUGAGGACUAUUUGCAGUCAGCACCCCAACUUCUGCCUUGGCUCUUCCCAUCAAGCCAGAGCAGUUUCUUGGCCUGCGCAACCUGCAGACUGACCUCUUGUGUGUAUCCGUGCUGGACUGAGG